UUGUUGUGAUGUGUUGCAUUACAUAAUGGCAUGAAAUUUUAAUAUAUUGUUUUCACUAUUCUGCUCACUGGGCUUUGUAGCUCACCCCUCUCCCCUAACCCCAGAUGUGCAGGUACAGGGUAGACUAGAAGGUUAGCCAGAGUUUAUUGAAGUAUGUUGAUGUAAUAGUUAGAUUGUGGACAUGACGAUUGUACUAUGAAUGUAAUGUAAGAGAUUCAGUAUGUUAUGUAAUGAGAUAUAUAUUGAGGUAUAGAUGUGCUUGACCCUAUGAGUAUUGUUAUCCCUUGUAAUACAUGAUCUACAGAAAUGUUUUAUGAUGUUCAUGAAAGCCAACUCAUCUUAUGAUGUAUCGCCCAUUGGGGCAUUGAUGAGAUCCCACAG
RNAcentral lists this long non-coding RNA (381 nucleotides) under Manihot esculenta (cassava). RNAcentral's name for it is "long non-coding RNA (MESC_LNC012038)". Lineage: Eukaryota; Viridiplantae; Streptophyta; Magnoliopsida; Malpighiales; Euphorbiaceae. The record is from RNAcentral.